AGCAGCCGCGGUAAUUCCAGCUCCAAUAGCGUAUAUUAAAGUUGUUGCAAUUAAAAAGCUCGUAGUUGAAUUUCGGGGCCAGUAGGUCGGUCGUGCCACUGGUAUGUACUGACCUCACUGGUCCCUCCUUCUUGUAGAACCGUGAUGCCAUUAAUUUGGUGUUGCGGGGAAACAGGACUGUUACUUUGAAAAAAUUAGAGUGCUUAAAGCAGGCUUACGCUUGAAUACAUUAGCAUGGAAUAACGGAAUAGGACGCUCGAUUCUAUUUUGUUGGUUUCUAGGAUUGACGUAAUGAUUAAUAGGGAUAGUUGGGGGCAUUAGCAUUCAAUUGUCAGAGGUGAAAUUCUUGGAUUUAUUGAAGACUAACUACUGCGAAAGCAUUUGCCAAGGAUGUUUUCAUUAAUCAAGAACGAAAGUUAGGGGAUCGAAGACGAUCAGAUACCGUCGUAG
RNAcentral lists this ribosomal RNA (450 nucleotides) under uncultured Glomeromycotina. RNAcentral describes it as "SSU rRNA". It matches the Rfam family "Eukaryotic small subunit ribosomal RNA", at positions 569 to 1023 of the family's 1831-position model. Lineage: Eukaryota; Fungi; Glomeromycota. The record is from RNAcentral.